ACCUACGGGGCGCAGCAGUGGGGAAUAUUGCACAAUGGGGGAAACCCUGAUGCAGCAACGCCGCGUGAGUGAAGAAGGUUUUCGGAUUGUAAAGCCCUGUCAGCAGGGAAGAAAAUGACAGUACCUGACCAAGAAGCCCCGGCUAACUACGUGCCAGCAGCCGCGGUAAUACGUAGGGGGCAAGCGUUAUCCGGAUUUACUGGGUGUAAAGGGAGCGCAGGCGGUAUGGCAAGUCAGAUGUGAAAACCCAGGGCUCAACCCUGGGACUGCAUUUGAAACUGCCAUACUGGAGUGCCGGCGAGGUA
RNAcentral lists this ribosomal RNA (305 nucleotides) under uncultured bacterium. Its description in RNAcentral is "bacterial SSU rRNA". It matches the Rfam family "Bacterial small subunit ribosomal RNA", at positions 337 to 659 of the family's 1533-position model. The record is from RNAcentral.